This 1399-nucleotide ribosomal RNA is filed under the name uncultured bacterium. RNAcentral describes it as "bacterial SSU rRNA". It matches the Rfam family "Bacterial small subunit ribosomal RNA". The record is from RNAcentral.
AGUUUGAUGCCUGGCUCAGAUUGAGCGCUGGCGGUGUGCUUAACACAUGCAAGUCGAACGGAAACGAUACUAGCUUGCUAGUAGGCGUCGAGUGGCGGACGGGUGAGUAACGCGUAGGAAUCUGCCUGAUAGUGGGGGAUAGCCCGAAGAAAUUCGGAUUAAUACCGCAUAAUCUAUUCGUAGUAAAGUGGGGGACUUUCGAGCCUCACGCUAUCAGAUGAGCCUGCGUAAGAUUAGCUAGUUGGUAGGGUAAAAGCCUACCAAGGCAACGAUCUUUAGCUGGUCUGAGAGGAUGAUCAGCCACAUCGGGACUGAGACACGGCCCGAACUCCUACGGGAGGCAGCAGUGGGGAAUAUUGGACAAUGGGGGCAACCCUGAUCCAGCAAUACCGCGUGUGUGGAGAAGGCCUGAGGGUUGUAAAGCACUUUCAAUUGUGAAGAAAAGUUAACGGUUAAUAACCGUUAGCCUUGACGUUAACUUUAGAAGAAGCACCGGCUAACUCCGUGCCAGCAGCCGCGGUAAUACGGAGGGUGCAAGCGUUAAUCGGAAUUACUGGGCGUAAAGCGUGCGUAGGCGGUUUAUUAAGUCAGAUGUGAAAGCCCCGGGCUUAACCUGGGAACUGCAUUUGAAACUGGUCAACUAGAGUAUGGUAGAGGAAAGUGGAAUUUCUGGUGUAGCGGUGAAAUGCGUAGAUAUCAGAAGGAACAUCAAUGGCGAAGGCAGCUUUCUGGACCAAUACUGACGCUGAGGUACGAAAGCGUGGGUAGCAAACAGGAUUAGAUACCCUGGUAGUCCACGCCGUAAACGAUGAUAACUAGCCGUUGGGGGGAUUUACCCUUUAGUGGCGAAGCUAACGCGUUAAGUUAUCCGCCUGGGGAGUACGGCCGCAAGGUUAAAACUCAAAGGAAUUGACGGGGACCCGCACAAGCGGUGGAGCAUGUGGUUUAAUUCGAUGCAACGCGAAGAACCUUACCUGGUCUUGACAUCCUGCGAACUUUCUAGAAAUAGAUUGGUGCCUUCGGGAACGCAGUGACAGGUGCUGCAUGGCUGUCGUCAGCUCGUGUCGUGAGAUGUUGGGUUAAGUCCCGUAACGAGCGCAACCCCUAUCCUUAUUUGCCAGCACGUCAUGGUGGGAACUAUAAGGAGACUGCCGGUGAUAAACCGGAGGAAGGCGGGGACGACGUCAAGUCAUCAUGGCCCUUACGACCAGGGCUACACACGUGCUACAAUGGGAAGGACAAAGAGCCGCGAAGCCGCGAGGUGUAGCUAAUCUCAGAAACCUUUUCGUAGUCCGGAUUGGAGUCUGCAACUCGACUCCAUGAAGUCGGAAUCGCUAGUAAUCGUAGAUCAGAAUGCUACGGUGAAUACGUUCCCGGGUCUUGCACACACCGCCCGUCA